GACGUAGGGGGCUAGCGUUGUCCGGAAUCAUUGGGCGUAAAGAGCGUGUAGGCGGCCCGGUAAGUCCGCUGUGAAAGUCGGGGGCUCAACCCUCGAAUGCCGGUGGAUACUGUCGGGCUAGAGUGCGGAAGAGGAGUGUGGAAUUCCUGGUGUAGCGGUGAAAUGCGCAGAUAUCAGGAAGAACACCUAUGGCGAAGGCAGCACUCUGGGACGGUACUGACGCUGAGACGCGAAAGCGUGGGGAGCGAACAGG
This 253-nucleotide ribosomal RNA is filed under the name uncultured bacterium. RNAcentral's name for it is "partial 16S ribosomal RNA". It matches the Rfam family "Bacterial small subunit ribosomal RNA", at positions 524 to 776 of the family's 1533-position model. The record is from RNAcentral.